This 534-nucleotide unclassified non-coding RNA is filed under the name Hevea brasiliensis (rubber tree). Lineage: Eukaryota; Viridiplantae; Streptophyta; Magnoliopsida; Malpighiales; Euphorbiaceae. The record is from RNAcentral.
GAAACACUUCAACAUGGCCAUUAAAACAAACAGCGGCUUAUUAUGGUCAUUACAAGAUCGACAUAAAUUGGAAAAUAUAACACCAAAUACUGGAAAAAUUAGUCUCUAAAAUUACCAGAAGACCCCUUGACUUGCAAAAUCAAGAACGCAGUUUCUGGCUCAUACUUUCUGUACUCAAUCUUCAGAUGAUAGAUUUAGUACUCCUUGUUUCCAAAAUUCUUGCACCAGAGCUGUGACGGAAUCGGCCGAACGGGAUUGUGCGGCCGUUGCUCAAGCUCUGCAGAUUUCAUAGCGAUAGGGAUGCAGACUAGAACGAUGCCAGCCAUGGCAAUAGCGGUAUUGCGUUUCCAAUGCUUGGGCCGGCAAUAAGGUCCUCCGCUCAUGCUCCAAACCUUAGCCCUAAAAUCCCCAUGGGCUUCCCCAUGUGCAUGUUCACCUCCACCCAUGGUUCCAAUGCUGAAACCUUUGUUGCGAGUUGCUGCCUUGAAGAUUGAAGAAGCUGAUCGGCGUUAGUGCGUGAGGAGAGUGGAGAAG